Molecule: ribosomal RNA, 274 nt
Filed under: uncultured bacterium
Lineage: Bacteria
Description: partial 16S ribosomal RNA
Rfam family: Bacterial small subunit ribosomal RNA
Source: RNAcentral
AUACGGAGGGGGCUAGCGUUGUUCGGAAUUACUGGGCGUAAAGCGCGCGCAGGCGGUCUUUUAAGUUGGAUGUGAAAGCCUACGGCUCAACCGUAGAACUGCAUCCAAAACUAUUAGACUAGAGUGUGGGAGAGGAAGAUGGAAUUAGUUGUGUAGGGGUAAAAUCCGUAGAGAUAACUAGGAAUACCAAAAGCGAAGGCAAUCUUCUGGAACACUACUGACGCUGAGGCGCGAAAGCGUGGGGAGCAAACAGGAUUAGAAACCCGUGUAGUCC